Podarcis lilfordi (Lilford's wall lizard) is the source of this 18312-nucleotide non-coding RNA. Lineage: Eukaryota; Metazoa; Chordata; Lepidosauria; Squamata; Lacertidae. The record is from the annotation of a GenBank genome assembly.
UGAGGGAAUCAAACUGAUUCUGAGCCAAAGGCCAGGUGGAACAACUCUGUCUUACAGGCCCUGCAGAAAGAGAUCAGAUCCCGCAGGGCCCUGGUCUCAAGAGACAGAGCAUUCCACCAGGCCGGGGCCAGUGAAGGGCUUUAAAAGUCAAAACCAGCACCUUAAAUCUGACUCUGUACUCCACCGGGAGCCAAUGCAGCUGGAAAAGCACUGGGUGAAUAUGCUCCCAUGGCAGAGACCCUGUGAGGAGCCUCACUGCAGCAUUCUGCACCCGCUGGAGUUUCUGGGACAGCUUCAAGGGCAGCCCCACAUAGAGCAAAUUACAGUAGUCAAGCGUGGAGGUGACCAUCGCAUGGAUCACUUUGGCCAGGGCAGGGCAGGAAAGGUAAGGGACCAACUGUUUGAGGGGGCGAAGGUGGAAAAAUGUCGCCUUGGCUGUUGUUGUAACCUGCGCCUCCAUGGAAAGAGAGGCGUCAAGGAUUACACCCAAACUCUUAACAGAACGCAAUGGCACUAAUUGGGUCCCCGCAAGAGAAGGGAGUUGGUCCCUCAUCCCCAUACCAUACCGAGCCAGCCAGAGGACCUCUGUCUUUGAAGGAUUUAGUUUCAGUCGUCUCCCACGAAACCAUCCAGCCACAGCUUCCAAACAUCUGGUCAGUGUGUCAGGGAUUGAGUUGGUAUGGCCAUCCAUCAGCAGAUAGAGCUGCGUGUCAUCAGCAUAUUGGUGACAACCCAGCCCAAAGCUUCAGAUAAUCUGGGCAAGGGGGCACAUAAAGAUGUUUAAAAGAAUCGGGGAGAGGAUUGAGCCCCGUGGCAUUCCACACACCAAAGGGUGGUGCGACGACAACUCCCUCCCUAGUGCCACCCUCUGUCCCCGACCAGAGAUAAAAGAGCACAGCCAUUUAUGGGCUAUGCCCUGUAUCCCCACAUCAGCGAGGCGGUGGUCCAAAAGAUCAUGAUCGACCAUGUCAAAGGCUGCUGACAAAUCUCAGAGAAUCAGCAGUCCCGACCCGCCUCGAUCCAGUUGUCUGCGGAGAUCAUCUGUUAGGGUGACCAGAGCCGUCUCGGUCCCAAAACCAGGACGGAAUCCAGACUGAAAUGGAUCUAAAGCCCAUGUUUCCUCCAGAAACCUACCAAGCUGUUCAAUUGCCUUACCCAGAUAUGGGAGAUUUGAAACUGGGUGGUAAUUGGAUAGAUCUAAAGGAUCUAGUGAAGUUUUCUUUAAGAGCGGACACACCAUUGCUUCCUUCAGCUCCCCUGGGAAUAUCCCUGUGUUAAGGGACAAAUUGAUAAUUUCAACCAGGGGGGUCCGCGCAAUAUCUGGGCACGCCCUAAUCAGCCAAGACGGGCACAGAUCGAGGAGCCAGGUGGUGGGCCUACCAGCUUGGAGGAGUCUAUCCACAUCUGCAGGGAGUAUCCGAUCGAAAUGUUCUAACACUGGACCCGAAGACAGUUGAGGGGCCUCCAGUUCUCUCACAGUAUCUAAAUUGGCAGGGAGGUCACUGAAGUGAAGGCACGAGACAGGUGUUGAUCAUCAUGUGAGCUGCGCACAGGUGAUCUGAAGCGAGCUACCACCAUUCCUGUGGAGCCUCCUUUUAUUGAGACAAAUAUGCAAGCUAGGCAGAUACAUGUCUGGGCAUUGACCUUUACACAUCUUCCGUCCCGAGAUCGUGGGGUGGUACAAAGCUAUUUUGGCACCUGUUCCACAGCGUCAUUUUCCCCUUGCACAGUGUAUGACGUAGGAGACAAAAGGUCUCAGGGAAAAAGUUACAGACAGGACACCGCUGACUUCUGAGACCGCAAAAGGUCAGACACAGGGGACGAUGUUCCGACAGCCGUGGCUUGUCUGAGGGGGGCUUUUCCCUGCACCCCAAGGUCAUGCGUGCAGGCAGAUUGUGGCUGCCUGCUGGCGGGGAAGUGUGCUCCCUCCGGAACCCACUCCCCGCUCCGCGAUAUCCCUACAGGUCACGGCCGAGCAACAGGACUUUCUCCGCAGAAAAGCUCGCAAAUGCCUCACAGCUGGGGGUUGAAUUUGUGCUUAAAUUUGGUUGUCCUGCUAAGGAUGUUAUUGACCUAAUUAUUCUAAAAAGUUGUGCCAGGGGAGAGCUAGCGGAUGCAAUGGAAGCUGCGAAGUGAGAUUUCUUAGCAGCUUUCAUAGCCAUCUCAUAGGCUUUCAUAAGCGUCCUAUAAGAUGUUCUUGAAGCUCCGUUACGAGUCCAUCGCCAUACUCGCUCUAGCCGUCUGAGAUCCCGCUUCAUUUUCCGGAGCUCCACAGUAGACCAAGGGGCCCGGUUUCGACGGGGUCGCAGAGGGCGCUUAGGCGCAAUCUCAUCAAUGGCCAUCAAGAGCCAGUUAUUCCAGUCCUCGACAAGGUCAUCUAAUGAGUCGCCAGGAGGAGCAGGGUCCCUCGAGGCCAGAAGGAAUCUAUCAGGAUCCAUCAGUCUUUGCAGUUGAGCCCAAAUAGGCUCGCCACCUGAGCAGGGGAGGAGUGGGAAGUCAAUCUGGGCUUUCAGAGCGUAGUGAUCAGACCAUGGCACUUCCACAGGGGGGAGCAUGAUCACAUCUAUGCCAGCACCAAAGAUCAAAUCCAGUGUGUGGCCUGCUUGAUGGGUCGGGCCCAUAACAAACUGGGAGAGCCCCAGUGUUGCCAUGGAAGUCACUAGGUCCAGAGCCUGUGAGGAGGGGGCAUCAUCGGCAUGGACAUUGAAGUCUCCCAAAACCAAUAGGUUUGGGAACUCCAAGGCCCAGCCUGCCGCCACCUCCAGCAGGUCUGACAGGGUGGCUGCCAGUGCGCUAGCUGGUCGGAACACCAGCCAGACAGCCAAGUUCUCCUCAGUGCCCCACAUGAGACCAACACAUUCAAUGCCGGAGAUCGCCGGUGGUGGCAGAGCCCUGAAAAGCAAUCCUCCCGGAUUGACAAUGCUACUCCUACCCCCCUGACCCAGAGUCUGCGAUUGAUGGAGGACAGAGAAACCUGGAGGUGUUAUCUCAUGUAGGGAGAUUACUUCACCUUCCCAUACCCAGGUCUCUGUCACGCGAGCCAGGUCAAUCCCCUGCGAGACAAAAAAGUUACAAAUGGUGGCGGUUUUAUUGCCUAUGGACCUGGCAUUGCACAACACCAAUGCCGGAGGUGGGUAAUCCCUGCUCGCCCUUACCUUUCCCUUGGGAUGGGGCAUAGAUUGGAAGGGAUUCGAGCAUCACUGCAUCUCAUAACCCUUCGCCGAUAGUGAUAUUUAGCCCCACCGCCAUUCUUCCCUAGCCCUUCAAUAGUGGGAAUCCCAGACCCCAUACUAGCCUCCCCAAUAGAGGGGUAAGAUCUCCUCACUAACAAGUCAUCUCUGGGCCAGGACUCUUGGGUCAGAAUGGUAUGGGGAAGAGGUGAAUGUUCGAUAGGGUAAUUAUCCCUAGAAGAUAAACCCAACCAACCGCAACCUGAGCAAAGAAGAUGUUCAGUUCCUCUGCCAAUGAGGUAUCAGUCUUAACCAUGUUCCUUGUAUUGUCCUUGUAGUUGGUUAGGUGCUGCAGUCGUUGCCACACUUGUUUCAUGAUGUUAUCGGCUAAAUAUUUUUCCACCUUCAGCUUAUACUGUUGUUUUGCUGCCAUAAUGCCUUUUUGAGAUUUAUUCUUGCCUCUCUGUAUAUGUCUAUAUUCCCUGUCUUAAAGGCAGAAUCCCGGAUUUUCAGGAGUGUUCUUACUUCAGGAGUCAUCCAUGGUUUACAGUUCCCAUAGAGUCUAAUGGAUCUCUGCGAUGUUACAUUAUAGAUGCACACUUUAAUAUAGGAGAGUACUGUAUAGCAUGGGUGUAUCUAUGCAGAUCUUGAUGUUUAAACACAAGUACAUUAAUCUGGCAAUGUAUUUGCUAUUCACCCGGUUGGAAAAAUGGUUUCAAUGUAGCUCAGAUCCUACUGAUAACUGAGGUCCCUAUCAAGCAGCACCAGUUUCCUGGUUCUUCCUUGCUGUUCAAGAAAUUCUGUACAGUACAUUAACCUCACAAUGCAGUCAAGAUUCACUGGAUUGGAAAUAUGGUUUCAUACCCCCAGAAGCACCCAGGGAACCAUCAUAGCUACUGAUCAAAGUCUCUUCCAUCUCCUUUUAAAAAUAAUUUAAGCCAUCAACCGUCUCCGUUUUCCUGUUAGUCCUCUUUCUUCCACCCACCUUUCCCAUGUAUUAAAAAGUACCAGUUGCAACCAGAACCAGGAAUAAGCAUGGAGACACAACUCAAUGGACUGAACCAGGGCCACAUUUCACAUACAUGUUUUCCACAAUAUUACAGCCACUUUCUAGGGACAGAAAAUUGUAACAUCAAAGGUAGAAGCAUGGGUGUCCACAGAAAUUCUUACAGAGAGAAAGAAAGUAAAAGGUUGAAGGGGCAGGCUUGUUUCUCUCACACAGAGAAAUGAGGAAGAUAGAGAAUGUACAUUUUGCCUUAUAGCUCAGGUUCUCCUAACCUGUGUAUGCGGUGUUAGGGGAGGGUAGUACCUCUGGCAGGGGAGAUAUUGUUCUCCCCCUGUAGUAGUUCUUCAACAUUUGAUCCCCAACCUGCGCUCAACUCUACCUGUGGUUCCUAGAAGCUGUCUACUAGCCAUUUAACCAGGUGAGGGUAGCUGAUGGGUCUCAAAUCCUGAGUGAAUUAGGGACUUGUCUGUCUCCCGCGAAUGUAGGCAAGCUUCAAUGAAUUGAGCGGACAAGACAAAUACUGGGUCCAACAGUCAAGAAGGCAGUUUCUGCACAUGCGACAGCUAGACUGGUGACUGGGAGUGGUCGCCGAGACCAUAUAGCACCAGUCCUAAAAGACCUACAUUGGCCCCCAGUACAUUUCCAAGCACGAUUCAAAGUGUUGGUGCUGACCUUUAAAGCCCUAAACGGCUUUGGCCCAGUAUACCUGAAGGAGCAUCUCCACCCCCAUCGUUCAGCCUGAACACUGAGGUCCAGCUCCGAGGGCCUUCUGGUGGUUCCCUCACUGCAAGAAGUGAGGUUACAGGGAACCAGGCAGAGACCCUUCUUGGUAGCGUCGCCUGCCCUGUGGAACGCCCUCCCAUCAGAUGUCAAGGAAAUACUACCUGAUUUUUAGAAGACAUCAAAAGGCAGCUCUGUUUAGAUAAGUUUUUAACGUCUGGUGUUUUAUCGGCCCCCCCCCCCAUGUUUUCAAUUAUCAUUACAGUGGUACCUCAGGUUACAUAUGCUUCAGGUUACAUAUGCUUCAGGUUACAGACUCCCCUAACACAGAAAUAGUACCUUGGGUUAAGAAUUUUGCAGAAAUCGUGCUCAGGCCUCGCAGCGGCAGCAGGAGGCCCCAUUAACUAAAGUGGAGCUUCAGGUAAAGAACAGUUUCAGGUUAAGAACAGACCUCCAGAACGAAUUAAGUACUUAACCCGAGGUACCACUGUAAUUCUUUUGGGAGCCACCCAGAGUGGUUGGUGAAACCCAGCCACAUAGGUGGGGUAUAAAUAAAUAAAUUAACAUUAUUAUCAUCAUCAUUAUCAUCAUCAUUCUGUUGCUGAAGCUCAUGUCCUGAUCUUGGACUCUUGGGCUUUGACUCUUGGGUGGUCCCACCAUCCUUUCACCAGUGAUAACUUUUUUGGGGGUGGAGGGGAAUAACUCUCUUGUUCAGGAAAGAUUUGCCCCUUACUUCCAAGAAAGAGUCUCUGUCGUCAUGUUCUGUUUGCAAGCAUUGCAUAUAUUUUGAUUGUGUAUGGAGUGAGUGGAUGCAGCUGAUACGCUUCACAGCAUUAUUUAAGUAGCAAGAGAGCCCCUCCUCCAUCCAAUCUUUUCUUAUACCUCUUUGAUCUCAAUGCAAUAAAAAAAAAGAAUGUUCCUCCUAGAGGUAGUUAGUUGCCCAGGCAAGAGCAUGAUGUGACCCAUGAGAGCAGCCAGAUCACCAGACCGUUCAACGGUGAUGGGAUUAAAAUCAGGCCAAAAAUUUCUUGACAGCAGCAGGCAGGGCAAGGGUUGGCAUGGCAUUGGGUCAAAGGAUCAGUACUUCAUCCCACAAGCUCCAUGUUGAUGGAAUGGUUCCGCUGGGUUUGAACCCCUCCAAAGCAGAACAAUGGGAGUCAGCCAGUGUUGAAGUUUGCUGUGGUGCAAGCCAGGCAAGCGAGGUCUCACUGGAAGACCAGGGUGCAGACUCCAAGCAAGCAGAUACCGAACCCACGCUUGGGUUUGCUGUGGUCAAUCCACCCCUCAGACCCCUUAUAGGUUCUUCCCUAUACUAUGUUGAUCCUACCCAAUGCCAUUUCCCCCCUCACACAAACAAUGUUCUUCCACCUAACAAAGGAAAGCCAUAAUUUCACUGAGGGAAAGGCAAAACAAUAACCAAGUGUCUCAGCUUUUGAGAGAGAAAAUCAUUUCUGGCCCUGUCAACGAACAACCGAAAAUUGCUCUGUAAAGGCUCUAAUUUGAGGAUGGGUGAGAGGGAAGUUCUCAAAGCAAAAUAAUUGUGAGCUCCAGGGGAAGCAGUCCUACAUAGGAUUUCCCUUCCCUCCACAGCAAAGGCUCAUGCACAGGGCUGAAUUUAGAUUUCAUGAGGCCCUAAGCUAAUGAAGGUCCUGGGGCCCUUUAUAUGUCGAGCUUUCCUUUGUCAACAACAAAUUGUCGCUGUUUUUGUGUUGAAUAUAUGCUAUAUGGUAAUUUAUGGAACUAAUAUGGAGCCUACCCAACACAAAACACUGUUGCUGCAUGAAGGGUUUAUUUUUAUAUAUAAUAUCUUAUAUACAGUGGUACCUCGGGUUACAUAUGCUUCAGGUUACAUACGCUUCAGGUUACAGACUCCACUAACCCAGAAAUAGUACCUCAGGUUAAGAACUUUGCUUCAGGAUGACAACAGAAAUCGUGCUCUGGCGGCGCAGGAGCAGCAGGAGGCCCCAUUAGCUAAAGUGGUGCUUCAGGUUAAGAACAGUUUCAGGUUAAGAACAGACCUCCAGAACGAAUUAAGUUCUUAACCCGAGGUAUGUUUCCGAGCACGAUUCAAAGUGUUGGUGCUGACCUUUAAAGCCCUAAACGGCCUCGGUCCUGUAUACCUGAAGGAGCGUCUCCACCCCCAUCGUUCAGCUCGGACACUGAGAUCCAGCGCCGAGGGCCUUCUGGCGGUUCCCUCAUUGUGAGAAGUGAGGCUACAGGGAACCAGACAGAGGGCUUUCACAGAAGUGGCACCCGCCCUGUGGAACGCCCUCCCAUCAGAUGUCAAAGAGACAAACAACUACCUGACAUUCAGAAGACAUCUUAAGGCAGCCCUGUUCAAGGAAGUUUUUAAUAUGCAACGCUGUACUGUUUUUAACACUUGAUUGGGAGCCACCCAGAGUGGCUGGGGAAACUCACCCAGAUGGGCGGGGUAUAAAUAAUAAAUUAUUAUUAUUAUUAUUAUUAUUAUUAUUAUUAUUACCACUGUAUUGGAAAUGUACAUCCAGAUUUUCCCCCUUUAAUUUUUUUGGGGGCCCCCAAGAAAGUGGGGCCCUAAGCUAUGGCUUGUUUAGCUUAUAUGUAAAUCUGGCAUUGCUCAUGGGACAGCUUUUUCCCAUAAGCCCAUUACACAGAGGAGAUUUUGCUGCAAUUUAUGGGCCACAGUGCCAUCAGGCAAGGUUGCCCCAUGCUUACUGGGCAUGGAAUGGGGCUUUUAAAAGAAAUAAGUAAAAUGAGCAGAAAGGGAAGAAGCACACACAGAUACUUUCGCUGCAGACAGGUCCAAUUUUAUUCUGCAUUCCAAUGAGCAGGAGUGUAAGAGCAAAUGUAGAUACCUCCUUCAGCCUAUUGCUCUGUGAGAGAAUAGGAAUAAAAAGAAGAAGAAAGACAAAGUCAAAUUUAACCUCUGGCCCUUGAACAACCGCACUACUCCAUCUGUUGCUGCUUUGUGGUGUUAUAUUUAUAAAAUAAAGUAUUAUUGAUAUUGAUAUUAUAAUUCACAACAACAAAUGCAGGAACAACCACCUGCUGGACCUGUCUGCCUUGACAAUAUCUGGGGCGAGUGUAAUGUGUGUGCAAGCCACCAGCAAGAAUAUUUCAAACACACCAUCUUCAAUUCACCUGCAAGCGAAUUAAUACGUUAAAUACCAAGUAUUUUUCAUAGAAUUAUAGAAUUGAACAGCUGGGGGACGCCAAGGGUCAUCAGGUCUCCUGCCCACCCCAAAGAGAGGUGCCUCACCAUGCCACCCCACAGGGGCCUAGGAAGAGGAUGCCCCCAGCCCUAGUGUCCCAACAGAGAGUGGCCAAAGGUGAACAUGAGGCCAGCACCUUAUUCACCUUGGGAGGCAGCAGCUGGUGCCACCAGGCCUGUGUGGCAGAAUGGCUCCCCUUUGGCACCGGCCACUCAGCUACCAGACAAGGACAAGAAAGGCCAGCGUGGCACCUGCCUGUCUGCCCAGCCUCCCACUUGUCUGCCCUUUCCCAACACCAAGGGCUGGCAAACUGGCUGGCUGGCUGGGCUCCCUCACCCACUUGUGUACUCUGAGGCCACCUCAGCUCUUGACACCCAGCACCCCCUGGCUAAUACUCCCCAAGCAUCACCCUUUGGAAACAACCAUCCAAGCUGGACCAGAACCACCACAAAUCAGUGCCACCCACCCCCAACUCAGACUGUCCCUUCAGAAGCAUACCAUGCUCAGUGGUAUCAAAAGACCCUGAGAGGUUGAGGAGAAUGAACAAGGACACAUUUCCCCUGUCUCUCUCCUGAGAGAUUUUCUGUGCCAAAGCCAGGUCUCAACCGCAAUUGAAAUGGAUCUAGAAAAUCAUUUCCCUCCAAGAUCGUCUGGAUCUGGUCCAUGAUCAUUUACUCAAGAACAUUGCAUAAUAAAGAGAGACCAGCAACUAGCCAGUAAUUACUUAGAUCUUUUGAAUCUAGGGAGGGCUUUUGAACUUGUGGUCUUACCACUGUCUCCUUCAACUCCCUGGUUUCCCAACACAAGUCAAUAGGAUUUCCAAAAUUUUCAUUUCAUGGAUACAGGAUGGGCUGGGUUGGUCCAGAAUCUGGCACAAUCUAAAUUACAAACUGGGCCAGAAAUCAGAUCCAGGUAUCUGUUCACAGCCAUACUAAGCAUUUUUUAAAAUAGGAUCUUUAUUCUUACCAGAAUAACAGCAACGGAUGUCUUUACCACAACUUCCAAUGUCUGAAUAGAUGAGAGGACAUUCCUUCAUUACACAGUAUGCGGGCACAGCACCAUACAUGCACGAAUUUAGGUCUGACACAUCAGUGAAUCCUGUAGUCACAGAGCAACAAAUGACCUUUAUCUGCCUCUCCACCUACAUGAUACUUCAAGCUGGAUGGUUAGGAAAAUAGAAUCUAGUAAAUAACACUAUAAGUUAAAAUAUAUACUAUAUUUUUCGCUCUAUAAGACGCACCAGACCAUAAGAUGCACCUAGUUUUUGGAGGAGGAAAACAAGAAAAAAAAAAUUCUGAAUCUCAGAAGCCAGAACAACAAGAGGGAUCGCUGCGCAGUGAAAGAAAAGAAAUACAACAGACUCCUUCUUGCUGUACUGAAACCCAACUUUAAGCUACCACAAUCCCCACACAAACCUGCCGCUGGUACCCAGUGUACUCAGGCCUCUGCCAUUGUUGAAAAUUGCAUGACAUGUGCAUUUAACCGGCAUGGUUUCAGUUGUAAAGGACAAGGUGAGGAUGCUGUUGUGAGAUGUCACAGGAAGUCAGUUUAUCCUGUGACACCAUAUAAGAGCAUCCCUACCAGUUCCAGAGCUGCAUGAUGAUAGGCCUUUGCUUAAAGCUAAGUGGUUACUUCGCAACAAGUAAACCCAAGCAGACCAGUGUAAAAAGAGCUUUUGAGCUCUUCACCUUGCUUCCCUGGAAAGGCAUUUUCAGCCUGCCAUGUGUCGGGUUCUCCCCACUUCAUAAGCCACCUUAUGAAAGGCAGGUUAGGUAGCAGGUUAAGAUAACCUAAUUUUGUCUAUAUGCAAAAUUUUGCACAUGUGCUUUACCCUUGGAAGCAAACACCUACAUGAGGUGCAGAGCUACUGCAUAUGGAAAUUGGAAAGGUGGAACUUGGAAACAAAAAUGGAAGAGGACGAAGAAUCUGGGAUAUGUUUUGGCCCUAUACGGUGAUAUUAUUCAUUCCUCUCCUCAAGUAAUUUAUUGCCUGGAUUGGGAAUGACCAGCGGAGCAAGCACAACAUUGAAAAACUAGAUGGUCUUCAUAGCUCUGAGAAGGUCAAGGUGGAUGCUCCUUGUACCCCAACCUGAGACGUAAUGAAGAGGCAAUGCGCACCCUUCUAGGGAUUACAAAAUCUCCAGUGAUCAGAGCCCUAGGCAUUACACAAUGAAUUACAAAAUGCCUUCCCUGUGUUACCCUUCCAGAGGCCAUGGUAUUCCAGAGAGAGGAAAUUGUGGCAGAGUACAUUAAUCUGGCAAUGCAUUCAUGAUUCACCCAGUUGGAAAUAUGGUUUCAAUGUGGUUCAGAUCCCACUAAUAACCAAGAUCCUUGUCAAGCAACACUGAUUUGCUGGUUUUUCCUUGCUGUUCAAGAAGUUCUGUACAGUACAUUAACCUCAUGAUGCAUUCAAGAUUCACUGAAUUGGAAAAAUGGUAUCAUAUCCCCUGAAGCAUUACUUAGCCAUCAUAGCCACUGAUCCAUGUUUCAUCCCUUGUGGGUUCCACAGCUGCCCCCCCCCUUCUCUGGAUCCAACCAGUCCAUGAGAGAUAUACACUUCUGGGAGAAGAAUUGACAGAUUAACUCUCUCUCUAAGAGUUCUCACUUGAUAGAAAAUAAUUACAUUGUGAUUGAUGAUAGACAUAUGACCUGAAUAUUAAAUCAGCUUGUAGAUAUGAGUGAAUAGGGAGAAUGCCCACCGUGGGGUGCAUCGCCAAGAGGUGGACUAGGCCUUGUAACAGAGGACCAAGAGAACCAAGAACCAUUAUUAUUAUUAAUUAACUUGGUUUUGUUGUUGUUUAGUCGUGUCCGACUCUUCGUGACCCCAUGGGCCAGAGCAUGCCAGGCACUCCUGUCUUCCAUUGCCUUCCGCAGUUUGGUCAAACUCAUGCUAGUAGCUUCGAGAACACUGUCCAACCAUCUCGUCCUCUGUUGUCCCCUUCUCCUUGUGCCCUCCAUCUUUUCCAACAUCAGGGUCUUUUCCAGGGAGCCUUCUCUUCUCAUGAGGUGGCCAAAGUAUUGGAGCCUCAGCUUCAGGAUCUGUCCUUCCAGUCAGCACUCAGGGCUGAUUUCCUUCAGAAUGGAGAGGUUUGAUCUUCUUGCAGUUCAUGGGACUCUCAAGAGUCUCCUCCAGCACCAUAAUUCAAAAGCAUCAAUUCUUCGGCGAUCAGCCUUCUUUAUGGGCCAGCUCUCACUUCCAUACAUUACUACUGAGAAAACCAUAGCUUUAACUAUACGGACCUUUGUUGGCAAGGUGAUGUCUCUGCUUUUUAAGAUGCUGUCUAGGUUUGUCAUUACUUUCCUCCCAAGAAGCAGGGGUCUUUUAAUUUCAUGACUGCAGUCACCAUCAUGGAGCCCAAGAAAGUAAAAUCUCUCAUUGCCUCCAUUUCUUCCCCUUCUAUUUGCCAGGAGGUGAUGGGACCACUGGCCAUGAUCUUGGAUUUUUGAUGUUGAGCUUCAGACCAUAUUUUGCACUUUCCUUUUUCACCCUCAUUAAAAGAUUAUUUAAUUCCUCCUCACUUUCUGCCAUCAAGGUCAUAUGUGUCAUCUGCAUAUCUGAGGUUGUUGAUAUUUCUUAUGGCGAUCUUAUUUCUGGCUUGGGAUUCAUCCAGCCCAGCCUUUCGCAUGGUGAAUUCUGCAUAUAAGUUAAAUAAGCAGGGAGACAAUAUACAGCCUUGCCGUACUCCUUUCCCAAAUUUGAACCAAUCAGUUGUUCCAUAUCCAGUUCUAACUCAUAGAGAUUUCUCAGGAGACAGAUGAGGUGAUCAGGAACUCCCAUUUCUUUAAGAACUUGACAUAGUUUGCUAUGGUUGACACAGUCAAAGGCUUUUGCAUAGUCAAUGAAGCAGAAGUAGAUGUUUUUCUGGAACUCUCUAGCUUUCUCCAUAAUCCAGCGCAUGUUUGCAAUUUGGUCUCUGGUUCCUCUGCCCCUUCGAAAUCCAGCUUGCACUUCUGGGAGUUCUUGGUCCACAUACUGCUUAAGCCUGCCUUGUAGAAUUUUAAGCAUAACCUUGCUAGCGUGUAAAAUGAGUGCAAUUGUGUGGUAGUUGGAGCAUUCUUUGACACUGCCCUUCUUUGGGAUUGGGAUGUAGACUGAUCUUCUCCAAUCUGUUAGUCAAUUUAUUUUGCUCUAGGCAACCCAAUGCAACUUGCAAGAUCUAUAGUAGGGAGCAGAUUCAGCCAUGCAGAGGGAGCGUGUGCUGGUAAGAUCAACAUUCCUGCAAGGCACAGGGAUCCCAUGCGUGAGCAGACCAUAUCUCGAAUUUACUAAUUUGGGGAGUGGUUAUGGGAAUUUAUUGGAGCAAUGUCAUAGUUGCCAUGCAGAGUUGAACCCCUUGUCCUGAUCUUGGAUUAGGUAUGGAGUGAGCUGAUGCAGCUGAUAUGCUUCACAGAAUCAUUGAAGUAGCAGGAUAGUCCAUUCUCCAUCCAAGCUUUCCUUAUACCUUAUAACGUUAUUUGUUCUCAAUGCAAAACAUGAUUGUCCCUUAGCUAGAUGGUUAGUUAUAAGAGCAAUAAGUAAAAUGAGUAGAAAGGGAAGAAGCACACACAGACACUUUCAACUGCAGAAAAGUCCAAUUUUAUUCUGCCCAGAAGGGUAUUUUGUAAUACCCUUCUGGGCAAUACAAAAUCUUCAGUGGUUGGAGCCCUAGGCAAUAUACAUUGAAUUAUACAUUACUUCCCCUCACACUAAGAGAAACCCAUUGGGCUAUAUGCCCUGAAUGCAAUGGGUACAAGUUGAAAUCUCAUAAGUUUUGCUACAUGGGAAGAAAAUGGGAACAAUUCUCCAGAGCAGGAGAAAACAAGCUUGUUCCCUCUUCCAUAUGACAGCCCUUGAUAUAUUUGAAGAUGGCUAUCAUAUCUCCUUUAAGUUUCCUCUUUUCCAGCCUAAACAUACACAGCUCCUUCAACCGGUUAUUGUAAGGCUUUGUCCCAGAUGCUUGAUUACCUUGGUCACCCUUCUCUGACAAAGGCAGAAUAGAGUGGAUGAUAUACUUCUGAUGAGGCCUAAAAUAGCAUUAGUUUCUUUGCUGUUGCAUCACACAGUUGACUCAUGUUAAGCUUAUGGUCCACACAUAAGCCCCUCCCCGGGGCUUGCACAUGGAAGAUGGAACAAGCUUGUUUUCUCCUGCUCUGGAAGAUAGGACUCGAACCAAUGGCUUCGAGUUACAAAAAAAGAGAUUCUGACUAAACAUCAGGAAGAACUUUGUGACAGUAAGAGCUGUUGGACAGUGGAACGGUCUCCCUCAGAAAGUUGUGGAUUCUCCUUACAGGGCGGAGGUUCACUGGCCAUCAGUCAUGGAUGCGUUAGCUGAGAUUCCUGCAUUGCAGGAGGUUGGACUAGAUGACCCUUGGUGUACCUUCCAACUCUGUGAUUCUAUUAUUCUGAUUUCUGACAAUAUUACCCAAUAGAGUUGUUUCAUUUGGCAUACUGCUCGUCAUGUCAAAGGUGGUGGAGAGGUCUUUGGAGUACUCAGUGGCAGACUGUGAGUGCAUUGCAUGACACUUCAAGGAUGAAAUCACUUAGCAAGCCAUGACCAAUGUUUCAUCUGAUUGGGGUACAAGGCACAUCGAAACAAUAUUUCCAGCCCAGUGAAUCCUCGAAUACCUGGUCAGAUUAAUGUACUGUGUGUUAACUUCCUCUCUCUUACACACCAUGUUCUCUUGAGAGUUUCUUCUGCCAACUGCAUCACAACAGAAAGAUUAAUGAACAGAGCUGACAUGUCAGUAUAUCACAGAGCCCUGUAAAUAAGCAGAGACUUGGCAUUUGAGAAGCUGCAGAACAGUCACAGAGCUCUUUUCCAUUAUUGCUGUCUAACCUGAGAUCCCUUUUGAGCAUCAGCUAUGAAGGUUCAAUGGCUUUUCCUUGCUGUCUUUUCAGGGCUAUGCCUGGUUUCUGCUGGUAAGACAUACAUUUGUUUUUGAAACAUUCAGACAUAACUUAUAGGAUGGGGUGGUCAAGAGGUGGUCCUCCAGAGCUUAGAGGACAUCAACACUCAUCAUCCCCAUCAGCAUUGUCAAUGACCAGGGAUGAUGGGACAAAAUGUAGAGGGCUAAUCAUUAGCCAGCAAUGUUGUUGUUGUUUAGUUGUUUAGUCAUAUCCGACUCUUCAUGACCCCAUGGACCAGAGCAGGCCAGGCUCUCCUGUCUUCCACUGCCUCCUGCAGUUUGGUCAAACUCAUGCUGGUAGCUUUGAGAACACUAUCCAACCAUCUCGUCCUCUGUUGUCCCCUUCUCCUUGUGCCCUCCAUCUUUUCCAACAUCAGGGUCUUUUCCAGGGAGCCUUCUCUGCCCAUGAGGUGGCCAAAGUAUUGGAGCCUCAGCUUCAGGAUCUGUCCUUCCAGUCAGCACUCAGGGCUGAUUUCCUUCAGAAUGGAGAGGUUUGUUCUUCUUGCAGUCCAUGGGACUCUCAAGAGUCUCCUCCAGCACCAUAAUUCAAAAGCAUCGAUUCUUCAGCGAUCAGCCUUCUUUAUGGUCCAGCUCUCACUUCCAUACAUCACUACUGGGAAAACCAUAGCUUUAACUAUAUGGACCUUUGUUGGCAACAAUGUCUCUGCUUUUUAGCCAGCCAUGAUACAGAUGUUUAAAGCAAUGGGCUUGAAGGAGUGACAAGUUCACAUUUGGGGAGUAAUCUAUCCAUUAUGUUGAGUUCCAUACCUCAUUCUGCUACAUUUAGUAUUCAAUGUAUAUCAUCUCUCUGUGGGGGCUUCUCUCUACCAUUAUAGCUAACAGCCCCUGAUAGAUUGAUUACUAAGAGACAGCAUGGGUUUCUCAAAAAGAAGCCAUGCCAGAUUAAUAUUAUUUCUAUAGAGAGUUUCACGCUUGGUGGAUCAGGGGAAUGCUAUGUCAUAGUAUAUCUUGAUUUCAGCAAGGCUUUUGAUGGCUUUCUGCAUGAUAUUCUUGUGGAGAAGCUGGUAAGAUGAGGUUCCCCAUCGUCCUAGAAGAAAGUGACAAGUCAGGUUCUGCAGGGUUCUCUCCUGAGCCUGUUAUUGUACAAUGUCUUUGUGAACAACUUGGAUGAAGGAACUGAGGGGAUGCUCAACAAAUUUGCAAUUGACACCAAACUGGGAGGAUAACUAAUGCUGCAGAAGACAGAAUCAAGAUUCAAUAUGGCCAUAACAGAUUGGGACAAGUGUAAGGUUCUACUGUUAGGGAGGAAUGAUCAACUGCACCAAUAUCAGAUGAGGGGCACAUGGUUUGUCAGUAGUACAUGCGGAAAGAAUCUAGGGAUCUUAGUAGACCACAAGAUAAACAUGAGUCAGUAGUGUGAUGCAGUGGUAUAACAUAAUGUUAUUCCAGGCUGCAUUAACAGAAGUAUAGUGUCCAGAUCAAGGGAACUAAGAGUGCCGCUCUAUUCUGACUUGGUCAGACCCCAGCUGGUGUACUAUGUCCAGUUCUGGUCGCCACAGUUUAAGAAGGAUAUUGACAAGCUGGAACCUGUGCAGAGAAGGGUGACCAAGGUGAUCCGUGGUCUGCAAAGCAAGCCUUAUGAGGAACGGUUGUAGGAGUUUGGUAUGUUUAACCUGGUAAAGAAGACUGAGUGGAGAUAUGAUAGCUAUUCUUCCACCACAGGCAGUGCUUAGGCAUCAUUUAUAAGAGAGCUGAAUAAAUGAGAGGACUUUUAGCCUUACAGAAGACACAGAACUGUCACAGAGUUCUGUUGUCAUUUUCCUUUCUGGCAGUCUAACUUGAGAUCUUUGUCAAGUGUCAGCUAUGAAUGUUUGUUGGCUUUCCCUUGUGGUCCUUUCAGGGGUAUUCCUGCUUUCUGCAGGGAAGAAAAGUAAGACAUAACCAAAUUUGAAAUAUUUAGAUAUGAAAUAUUGACUGGGAUGGUCAAGAUGUGGCCCUGCAGAGCUUAGUGGACUCCUGUCAUCCGCACUACCAUUGACAAUGCACAGGGAUGAUGGGGCAAAAUCAAGAGGGCUACACUUUAGCUAACCAUGCUGCAGGUGUUUAAAACAACGGGCCUGAAGGAGGGACAAAUCCACAAUUUGGACAUGAUCCAUUUGUUAUCCUUCACUCUAUGCCACUCAUCGCCCUGCAAAAGAGCAGGCACAGAGGAAGGAGGAGGAGGAUUCCUACAGGAGGGGGGAGAAGCAGUUAGUCGAAGGAAAGGCUCAGAUAGUGACACAGACACAGAAAUAGGGAGAGGGAAUCACCCCUCAUGAGAUGAGCUGAGAAGUGUGAAAAGUACAGGAAGGGGAGGUGGGAGUUUUCCUGUUGGGGGAGAAGGGGGCGGAGCUCAUUCCUGGCAACAGUGGAAUCGAAGGAAGAUUGAAAUUUGCGGAGCUCCAACUGGGGCUUUUUGUUGAACCAAUAAAUCUUAAUAAAUUAACUUCCAGAGUCGUCUCAUGUGUGGGGGAGAGACCUAAGCCUCACUCUUAUAAUUCGUCUUGAUUACAUGGAUGUAGAAGAGAGGCAUAGGAGGGACGCAGGUGGCGCUGUGGGUUAAACCACAGAGCCUAGGACUUGCUGAUAAGAAGGUCGGUGGUUUGAAUCCCCGUGACGGGGUGAGCUCUCGUUGUUCGUUCCCUGCUCCUGCCAACCUAGCAGUUCAAAAGCACGUCAGAGUGCAAGUAGAUAAAUAGGUACCGCUCUGGCGGGAAGGUAAACGGCAUUUCUGUGUGCUGCUCUGGUUUGCCAGAAGCGGCUUAGUCAUGCUGGCCACAUGACCCGGAAGCUGUCUGCAGACAAACGCCGGCUCCCUUGGCCUAUAGAGCGAGAUGAGCGCACAACCCCAGAGUCCGUCAUGACUGGACCUAAUGGUCAGGGGUCCCUUUACCUUUAUUCUGCCUGGGUUAGACCACACCAGCAAUAUUGUGUCCAGCUCUGGGUGCCACAAUUUAAGAAGGAUGUUGACAAGCUCGAAUGUGUGCAGAGGAGAGCGACCAAGAUGAUCAGGGGUCUGGAGGGUAGGUCAUGAAACAAUAGAUUCAAGUUACAAGAAAGGAGAUUCUGACUAAACAUCAGAAAUAACUUUCUGAUAGUAAGAGUUUUGACUGUGGAACGGACUCCAUCAGAAGGUGGCGGACUCUCCUUCAUUUAAGGUUUUUAAGCAGACGUUGGAUGCUAUCUGUCAUGGCUGCUUUACUUGAGAUUUCUGAAUUGCAAAGAGAUGUGCUAGAUGACCAUUAAGGUCUCUUCCAACUCUCUACAGUGGUACCUCGGGUUACAUAUGCUUCAGGUUACAUACGCUUCAGGUUACAGACUCCGCUAACCCAGAAAUAGUGCUUCAGGUUAAGAACUUUGCUUCAGGAUGAGAACAGAAAUCGUGCUCCGGCGGCGCGGCGGCAACAGGAGGCCCCAUUAGCUAAAGUGGUUCUUCAGGUUAAGAACAGUUUCAGGUUAAGAACGGACCUCCGGAACGAAUUAAGUACUUAACCCGAGAUACCACUGUAAUUCUAUGAUUCUAUGCCAAGGGCUCCAUGACUGUUAUAUCCUCCAUGAAUUUGUCUACUUUUUCCUGCCAGUCCCCAAACCACUGUCCACUGAUUUAAUUGAGUGUCCCCAAUUUUUAAGAUCAUAGGUAAUAGAGAAAUGUUUCCUUUAUUUAAAUUUAGAGAUAGUGGAAAAACUCAUUUGAAAAUGCCUUAUUUUGCAGAGAAUUUGUCGGUUUCCAAUCUGGAAACCUCUGCCCUUAUCAGACUCCCACUUGCAUCGAGCGUCUGCUCAUGUUCAAGCCGUUUAUGCAUUACUGUUAAAAAUAGCUCAAUAAUUUAUAUGUAAAAUUAUAGACAUAUAGUUUUGCAGAAUAUGUGCAUCAGUUUAGAUGGAGUGUAUAUGUGUAUACUGUUGCAUGAAAUACCGUACUUUUUUGUGUAUAAGACGCCCACAUGUAUAUGAUGACCCCUAUUUUUUAAGCCCAAAAUUAAGAGAUAAAUAUUUUAAAUAUUCCAUGUAUAAGACGACCCCCAAUUAUAAACUUUUGUAAAAUGGCAGAAAAGAUAGUCUUAUACAUGGAAAAAUACAGUAUAUUAGAAUGGUUUCAGUUGUGAUUCUCCACUUUUUUUUCUUUUUAGAUAUUACUACUACAGAGGCGUGUCAAUCCUUUCACUCUUAUUGUGUUAGCACUUGUGGAGCCCAUUCUGCACAGGUUGGAACAUGUGAUGGAGGUCUGAUUUGCUGCAGGGCAACUGGGUAAUCUUUCUUAUUUUCCUUCCAUGGCACCCAAGUGAUGCAUACAUUCAGACAAUUCCAUUCAUGGGUGCCGUCUUUUAAUUCAAGGCAGC